RNAcentral lists this ribosomal RNA (672 nucleotides) under uncultured eukaryote. RNAcentral's name for it is "SSU rRNA". It matches the Rfam family "Eukaryotic small subunit ribosomal RNA", at positions 432 to 1110 of the family's 1831-position model. The record is from RNAcentral.
GCGCGCAAAUUACCCAAUCCCGACUCGGGGAGGUAGUGACAAUAAAUACUGAUACAGGGCUCUUUUGGGUCUUGUAAUUGGAAUGAGUACAAUUUAAAUCCCUUAACGAGGAACAAUUGGAGGGCAAGUCUGGUGCCAGCAGCCGCGGUAAUUCCAGCUCCAAUAGCGUAUAUUAAAGUUGUUGUGGUUAAAAAGCUCGUAGUUGAACCUUGGGCCUGGCUGGCCGGUCCGCCUCACCGCGUGUACUGGUCCGGCCGGGCCUUUCCCUCUGUGGAACCCCAUGCCCUUCACUGGGUGUGGCGGGGAAACAGGACUUUUACUUUGAAAAAAUUAGAGUGCUCCAGGCAGGCCUAUGCUCGAAUACAUUAGCAUGGAAUAAUAAAAUAGGACGUGUGGUUCUAUUUUGUUGGUUUCUAGGACCGCCGUAAUGAUUAAUAGGGACAGUCGGGGGCAUCAGUAUUCAAUUGUCAGAGGUGAAAUUCUUGGAUUUAUUGAAGACUAACUACUGCGAAAGCAUUUGCCAAGGAUGUUUUCAUUAAUCAGGAACGAAAGUUAGGGGAUCGAAGACGAUCAGAUACCGUCGUAGUCUUAACCAUAAACUAUGCCGACUAGGGAUCGGACGAUGUUAUUAUUUGACUCGUUCGGCACCUUACGAGAAAUCAAAGUGCUUGG